Molecule: ribosomal RNA, 449 nt
Filed under: uncultured bacterium
Lineage: Bacteria
Description: bacterial SSU rRNA
Rfam family: Bacterial small subunit ribosomal RNA
Source: RNAcentral
AACGAACGCUGGCGGCAGGCUUAACACAUGCAAGUUGAACGGGAUUUGUAUGGUGCUUGCACUAUAUAAUGAGAGUAGCGCACUGGUGAGUAACACGUGGGAACAUACCUUGAAGUGGGGAACAACAGUUGGAAACGACUGCUAAUACCGCAUACGCCCUAAGGGGAAGAUUUAUCGCUUUAAGAUUGGCCCGCGGAAGAUUAGGUAGUUGGUGAGGUAACGGCCCACCAAGGCGACGAUCAGUAGCCGGCCUGAGAGGGUGACCGGCCACAUUGGGACUGAGACACGGCCCAAACUCCUACGGGAGGCAGCAGUGGGGAAUAUUGCACAAUGGGGGAAACCCUGAUGCAGCAACGCCGCGUGAGUGAAGAAGUAUUUCGGUAUGUAAAGCUCUAUCAGCAGGGAAGAAAAUGACGGUACCUGACUAAGAAGCCCCGGCUAACUACGUG